Long non-coding RNA from Chenopodium quinoa (quinoa), 1832 nucleotides. RefSeq lists it as uncharacterized. The record is from RefSeq and is a predicted model, not a curated record. NCBI's taxonomy places the organism in Eukaryota, Viridiplantae, Streptophyta, Magnoliopsida, Caryophyllales, Amaranthaceae. The transcript has 4 exons.
CAUCGCUUAUAACCUAAUUUCUUUCACUUAGCUUCUCAAUCUCAACUGCAUACGCAUUCGAUUCAGGCUACCAUAGAGGCAUAGAAACAAUUUCACCAAAGCUAUUUCACCUAAACUCACGGAUUUCUCAUAAAAAAUUGAUUGGUGGGUUUUAGGUUAUCCAGUUUUGUGGUUUAUUUUUCGGAGGAGAGAGAAAGUGAGCAGUUGCAGCAUCAACAACAAAAAAUUGAAGGUUAUCUGACAAGAACGAUGAGGAGAAUAGGGAACAAAUCGAUAGCGCGAACUUGUACUUUCCAUCGAAAAGCUUCUUAUCUUGAAAAGGUUCGAUUGUUUUGUCCCUAAUUUGGUUUUUUUUUGGGGUUUAUACGGGAUUUUUGAUGUCAGUUUUCUGUAUUUGUUUAAUUAUGUCAUUUUUGUUUAAAAUUGUGUUUUUGUGCUAGUUUUUGCUCGGAAUGUUGAUGGGGUUUUGUUAUCUGCUAAUGGGUAGUCAGGAUUAACGGAUUUGUGUGUGCAUGUGGAUUGUUUUGAAGUUUAAUUGACUUGAUUUAUGUGGAAUUUGUGCUCAAAUUAACUACUUGCUAUUUGUAUAAUCGUUUUGUUUGCUUAAACAUAACAAUUUCUUCGAUGGUUUUUAUGUGGGAUUGCCUUAGUGAUGUAAGAUAAAGUGGUUCUCUCUAUGCAAACUUGUGGUGAAAGUUCAUUGACUUUGUAUGCAUAGGAAAUAAUUCGCUUCGUAAGGGGGUUGGAAUUUUGACUCAUUUGUGUAAGAAAAUUAGUGAAUUAACUAAGUCGAAUUGAUUAAUUAGUUAGUGAAUUUGAACGAGGUUGGCUUGAAAAUUGGAUGAGUAGGAUGACCAGCGCUGAUUGGUGGGAAAAGAGAUGCCGUAUUGGCGGUGCUAUGUGGUGGAGAAGAUGUUGUUGGCGCUUAAAGUGUUUGAAGGGGCUGCUGUGAUUAUUUGGACAGUCAAUGGGUGAGCUUGUUGAAAUUUUAGAAUUAUUGUUAUUUUUUGGGAUUUCUUGAUUGAAUUAUAUGUUGAUUCUCCUAUACUUGAGCAUGAUUUAAUUUUAUAAAAAUCUGAUAGCUGAAUUUCAUGUAUACUAUGAUAUUGUCCUGAUUUUUUAGGGAACUGUUGUUAAUCAAGUUAUGUCAGAAAUUUUAAAUUGCAUUGUUUGAGUUGAGAUGAAGAUAAAUUAUGAUUGUGCUGCUUCUUAUAACUUUGUGUUAAUUUCAUUUGCUAAUGUGGGGCUGCUAGGAUUGUUUGGACAGUCAAUAGGGGGAUUGUGGCUCUAAAGGUGCACCUUAAGCAAUCCAAUGCUUGGAAUGACAUUGUUCUAUUGGCACUCAUGUGCAAAAUUGCAGAUGACAUGUACCCUCAUUUGUUGUGACCCAAAUUUUAAUUACAAUAAACAAGUUUUUUCUCAAAUCAAAAAAGGUUACAUGAAGAGAUUUAGCUGAUUUGGCAUUUCGUGAGAGAAAGAAACGACAGAGUAUAAUGUCAUUGCUUACAUGGAUAAAUCGCAUUCGAAGACUGAUAUUUGAGCUGCUUCACACAAAAAAGGAGAUAGGUCGUCGAGUGGAAGAAGACCUUUUAGAUUGCCAGUUUAGAAGUUAUGAUCAAAUUCAAAUUGAAGAACUCUGUGUAGCUCAACAAGUGUAGCAUGUUGAAGGAAUCAACAAAUUUCUGUGCAUAAUUUAUGUGUAUUAGAGUAUUUUGAUUUAUUGUCAUUUUCUUAGAACAUAAUUCUUAAACUGUUAGUUUUAUUACGGUGAUGACCUUGUAAAACUCUUUAUUAGAUCUUGAAUAUUAAUUCAAAAUUACCAUUGUUUUACA